Molecule: ribosomal RNA, 301 nt
Filed under: uncultured bacterium
Lineage: Bacteria
Description: partial 16S ribosomal RNA
Rfam family: Bacterial small subunit ribosomal RNA
Source: RNAcentral
CAGUAGCCGCGGUAAUACGAGGGGGGCAAGCGUUGUUCGGAUUUAUUGGGCGUAAAGGGUGCGUAGGCGGUUUGGCAAGUUUGGUGUGAAAUCUUCGGGCUCAACUCGAAGUCUGCAUCAAAAACUGCCGGGCUUGAGUAUGGGAGAGGUGAGUGGAAUUUCCGGUGUAGCGGUGAAAUGCGUAGAUAUCGGAAGGAACACCUGUGGCGAAAGCGGCUCACUGGACCAUAACUGACGCUGAGGCACGAAAGCUAGGGGAGCAAACAGGAUUAGAUACCCCAGUAGUCCCUGUCUCUUAUAC